This 399-nucleotide ribosomal RNA is filed under the name uncultured bacterium. RNAcentral's name for it is "bacterial SSU rRNA". It matches the Rfam family "Bacterial small subunit ribosomal RNA", at positions 358 to 774 of the family's 1533-position model. The record is from RNAcentral.
GGAAUAUUGCACAAUGGGGGAAACCCUGAUGCAGCGACGCCGCGUGAAGGAUGAAGUAUUUCGGUAUGUAAACUUCUAUCAGCAGGGAAGAAAAUGACGGUACCUGACUAAGAAGCCCCGGCUAACUACGUGCCAGCAGCCGCGGUAAUACGUAGGGGGCAAGCGUUAUCCGGAUUUACUGGGUGUAAAGGGAGCGUAGACGGUAUGGCAAGUCUGAUGUGAAAACCCGGGGCUCAACCCCGGGACUGCAUUGGAAACUGUCGGACUAGAGUGUCGGAGAGGCAAGUGGAAUUCCUAGUGUAGCGGUGAAAUGCGUAGAUAUUAGGAGGAACACCAGUGGCGAAGGCGGCUUGCUGGACGAUGACUGACGUUGAGGCUCGAAAGCGUGGGGAGCAAACA